GACGAACGCUGGCGGCGUGCUUAACACAUGCAAGUCGAACGGAAAGGCCCUGCUUUUGUGGGGUGCUCGAGUGGCGAACGGGUGAGUAACACGUGAGUAACCUGCCCUUGACUUUGGGAUAACUUCAGGAAACUGGGGCUAAUACCGGAUAGGAGCUCCUGCUGCAUGGUGGGGGUUGGAAAGUUUCGGCGGUUGGGGAUGGACUCGCGGCUUAUCAGCUUGUUGGUGGGGUAGUGGCUUACCAAGGCUUUGACGGGUAGCCGGCCUGAGAGGGUGACCGGCCACAUUGGGACUGAGAUACGGCCCAGACUCCUACGGGAGGCAGCAGUGGGGAAUAUUGCACAAUGGGCGGAAGCCUGAUGCAGCAACGCCGCGUGCGGGAUGACGGCCUUCGGGUUGUAAACCGCUUUCGCCUGUGACGAAGCGUGAGUGACGGUAAUGGGUAAAGAAGCACCGGCUAACUACGUGCCAGCAGCCGCGGUGAUACGUAGGGUGCGAGCGUUGUCCGGAUUUAUUGGGCGUAAAGGGCUCGUAGGUGGUUGAUCGCGUCGGAAGUGUAAUCUUGGGGCUUAACCCUGAGCGUGCUUUCGAUACGGGUUGACUUGAGGAAGGUAGGGGAGAAUGGAAUUCCUGGUGGAGCGGUGGAAUGCGCAGAUAUCAGGAGGAACACCAGUGGCGAAGGCGGUUCUCUGGGCCUUUCCUGACGCUGAGGAGCGAAAGCGUGGGGAGCGAACAGGCUUAGAUACCCUGGUAGUCCACGCUGUAAACGGUGGGUACUAGGUGUGGGGUCCAUUCCACGGGUUCCGUGCCGUAGCUAACGCUUUAAGUACCCCGCCUGGGGAGUACGGCCGCAAGGCCAAAACUCAAAGGAAUUGACGGGGCCCCGCACAAGCGGCGGAGCAUGCGGAUUAAUUCGAUGCAACGCGUAGAACCUUACCUGGGUUUGACAUGGAUCGGGAGCGCUCAGAGAUGGGUGUGCCUCUUUUGGGGUCGGUUCACAGGUGGUGCAUGGCUGUCGUCAGCUCGUGUCGUGAGAUGUUGGGUUAAGUCCCGCAACGAGCGCAACCCUUGUUCACUGUUGCCAGCACGUUAUGGUGGGGACUCAGUGGAGACCGCCGGGGUCAACUCGGAGGAAGGUGGGGAUGACGUCAAGUCAUCAUGCCCCUUAUGUCCAGGGCUUCACGCAUGCUACAAUGGCUGGUACAGAGAGUGGCGAGCCUGUGAGGGUGAGCGAAUCUCGGAAAGCCGGUCUCAGUUCGGAUUGGGGUCUGCAACUCGACCUCAUGAAGUCGGAGUCGCUAGUAAUCGCAGAUCAGCAACGCUGCGGUGAAUACGUUCCCGGG
This 1343-nucleotide ribosomal RNA is filed under the name uncultured bacterium. RNAcentral's name for it is "16S ribosomal RNA". It matches the Rfam family "Bacterial small subunit ribosomal RNA", at positions 28 to 1378 of the family's 1533-position model. The record is from RNAcentral.